CCUACGGGUGGCUGCAGUGGGGAAUAUUGCACAAUGGGCGCAAGCCUGAUGCAGCCAUGCCGCGUGUGUGAAGAGGGCCUUCGGGUUGUAAAGCACUUUCAGCGGGGAGGAAGGCGGUGAGGUUAAUAACCUCAUCGAUUGACGUUACCCGCAGAAGAAGCACCGGCUAACUCCGUGCCAGCAGCCGCGGUAAUACGGAGGGUGCAAGCGUUAAUCGGAAUUACUGGGCGUAAAGCGCACGCAGGCGGUCUGUCAAGUCGGAUGUGAAAUCCCCGGGCUCAACCUGGGAACUGCAUUCGAAACGGGCAGGCUAGAGUCUUGUAGAGGGGGGUAGAAUUCCAGGUGUAGCGGGGAAAUGCGUAGAGAUCUGGAGGAAUACCGGGGGCGAAGGCGGCCCCCUGGACAAAGACUGACGCUCAGGUGCGAAAGCGUGGGGAGCAAACAGGAUUAGAUACCCUUGAGUC
Molecule: ribosomal RNA, 464 nt
Filed under: uncultured Klebsiella sp.
Lineage: Bacteria; Pseudomonadati; Pseudomonadota; Gammaproteobacteria; Enterobacterales; Enterobacteriaceae
Description: bacterial SSU rRNA
Rfam family: Bacterial small subunit ribosomal RNA
Source: RNAcentral